This 209-nucleotide unclassified non-coding RNA is filed under the name Hevea brasiliensis (rubber tree). Lineage: Eukaryota; Viridiplantae; Streptophyta; Magnoliopsida; Malpighiales; Euphorbiaceae. The record is from RNAcentral.
AAUUGGACCUCUGCCUUUGCGGAUCUGGCAAAAAGAAUUUAAAAAAUCAGAAGUGACCUAAUUUCAAUUAGCCAAUGUUAAUUAAAUAUGGAAAUGGGUCAAGUCAGCAAAUGCGAAAAUGAGACGAAAAUAAAAUGGCAAUGAAUGAGAAACAUACAGAAAAUCAUACACUUCAGCACAACUAUGUAAAAAUAUAUAACUUACAGGCA